This 1011-nucleotide small RNA is filed under the name Malus domestica (apple). Its description in RNAcentral is "sRNA MD06G0186600". Lineage: Eukaryota; Viridiplantae; Streptophyta; Magnoliopsida; Rosales; Rosaceae. The record is from RNAcentral.
GAAGAUCAUAUUCCUUUUGUGGUGCAAUUGGAGUUUGUUAUCGUAUGCGGUGCUUUUCGUUGUAUGGCCAUAUGAAGCUGCAGAUGCAAAUAUUUCUUAAGGUACAUGACGAUCCUUCUAACGCUCCAGUUUGAUGGUCCAACUCAAUGGGUGACCCUUACGCCACUUGGGGGGACUGCUGGUAGAGAUCAUAGCAAUUGAUGUAAGUCCCUUACUUCUGUAAUACGGUACUUGGAGUGACUGCUGGUAGAGCUCAUAGCAAUUGCUGCACUCAUUGCACUAAAAAAAGGUUCCCGGUUAAUCAAGUAUAGCCUGAAAGGGAAGCCAAAACUUCGUCCAUUCAGAAUUUCUACUCACUCAAUGUCAGAUUUUAAGAUCAACGAAUCAGCUCACUGCUGCGGUCGAAGUUGGGGAAGGUGAUGUGAUGUUAGAAAUUAGGCUGCGAACAGGUUCUUUGACCAAUGUUCUUAUUAAUGCUGGUGCAUUUGUGCUCGCAAUCAAAAAGUGUUAUAUGGGCUUUAGGAUCCACACAUGGCUACUCAUGUGAGUGAGAGAUUUGCGGAGACUGACCGGUUCAAGGUUUUGAAAGAGGACUUUGUCAAAUGUCGCAUUCACUCAUAUGUGGUGUCGUUGUUGGCAUGUGCAGAGCCAUCGGUCUCACCGCCACGAUCUUCCACGAUUCCAUUUUUCCUUUCUUUUAAUUUAUUUUUAAAUUUUAAAAGUUUUUGUUGAUGGUUUGUUUGUGGAAAUGGAUGAAAUCAGGUGUUGGAUUAAACUGUACCUUCCUCAACACAAAAAAAAAAAAAAAAAAAAGGAUUGAUCCAUGGAGACUGCAAUUUGUGGGAGAAUCCCUCUCCCCCAACCAUGUCUUCAACCCCAAACCAGAUUCUCUCCAUUUUUCUCAAUUCUUUCCCUCUUUUCAGAUUUUGGGUUUCCCUCAAAAUCUUUGAUUUCUUCAUCAAUUAACAUGAACUGCCAAGGGUCAACACUUGAGAAGGUGAUUUGGGUGGA